UGCCUUAUUUGUAUAUAUAUCUUCCCAGUGCCUAGCAACUGGUAAAUAGUAGAAGUUCAAGAAAUAGUUGCUUAAGUGAAGUAGAAUUUCCCUUUUCCUCGAUGGUUCCAAUGAAUUCUCACAAGUCUGAACACCAGUCUGUUUCCCCUGUGCCUCCACCUUUCUUCUGUCUAAGGAAGCUACUUUUCUCAAAUUUGACAUUUGAUGGCAACACUACCAAGAAUUUCCUAGGACUAUAAUGAGAAAGUACUAAGAUGAGGUAUGAAAUAAUACGGACAUUUCUGCUCUGCUCAAGGCUGUCAAAAUGUGGGAAUUGUUUUGUUCAUAUGUUCUCUUCCUGAGGUGGGUGCAGCAUUGAUUUUUGAAGAAAACUCUGGGCUUUCUUAGAAGUAUCCCCUCUCGGCCUGCCUUCCUGUGGAGGUGUGCUUUAUGUUAUAAAUGAUCCUUACUUUACAUUUAUAAUUCAACACAUUUGCCUCCACUGACCUGUGAAAAAUAUCUAAAAUUAGAUACAUUUGAAAUGUCAAAGCUUCAUUUGACUCUGAUUUGACCCACAAAAUACUUUCGCCUAAGUCAAAUACAAGUCCGAGUGUGUGAAGCCUAAGAAAUCUUUUCUUUGUCCCAGGAAUUUGUAGUUAUUUUCAACAUGGAUAUCUUCAGUUCCUUACAGGAAGAGUUUUCCCCUGCUACAAGGUCUGAGGUGAGAAAAGACCCAAUGCCAGAGGGCGAUAAGAACUGUUCGUCUGUGUCAUUUUUAUAUACCAAUUUUGACUCAUUAUAAUGUCAAACUACCAAAAAGAUAGGUGGAACAGAGAUAAAAGGAAUAACUGCUUAUGGAGUACAAAGGGAAAACAAAACUACUAUGGAAGAUAUAGCUCCUCUUGGGGGGAGAGAAGGGGAAAUAAAUAACAAACCGUUCUAUACUCUGUGAUAUAUUAUAAAAUCAUGAUAUUACUAAUUCACUAUUUUGUGCCUUAUAUAAUGACAACCCUUGACAUUUAACUUUCAUGUUGCCAAACAGAGAAGGAGGUAUGCAACUAUAAUUUGCACCUUAAAGAUGGAUCUAUUACACAAAAAAUAUAUAACAGUAACCAAUUUGGGAGAGCUACUGUAAUAUAUUUAACAUUGCACACAAAAGAAGAAGUGGGUCAUUUACAUUAAGUAUUCUUGAAGAUUCAGUGGCCUGCAUUCAUUCUUUACGAUAACAUCACCAUGUGGGUACCAAAACUACAAUACACACAAAUCCACUCAUCAAUAAAUUUCUCUUGUACACAGGAUAAACAAUUUAAUAAAUUAAAAUUGGAAAAAGCCAUGUUCUUCGAUGAAUCACUUUCA
Molecule: long non-coding RNA, 1335 nt
Organism: Acinonyx jubatus (cheetah)
Lineage: Eukaryota; Metazoa; Chordata; Mammalia; Carnivora; Felidae
Exons: 4
Source: RefSeq, a predicted model, not a curated record